Molecule: small nucleolar RNA, 45 nt
Filed under: Brugia malayi
Lineage: Eukaryota; Metazoa; Nematoda; Chromadorea; Rhabditida; Onchocercidae
Description: snoRNA Bm16843
Source: RNAcentral
GAAGUUUGCCAUUAUCGUAGAAAAUCACGGAUACAAAAUACAAAA